GGAGAGGUGGCUGAGCGGUCAAAAGCGGCAGAUUGCUAAUCUGUUGUAUGGUAUACAUGCCAUACCGAGGGUUCGAAUCCCUCUCUCUCCU
This 91-nucleotide transfer RNA is filed under the name Sciadococcus taiwanensis. Its description in RNAcentral is "tRNA-Ser". It matches the Rfam family "tRNA". Rfam says of the family: Transfer RNA (tRNA) molecules are approximately 80 nucleotides in length. Lineage: Eukaryota; Rhodophyta; Bangiophyceae; Cavernulicolales; Cavernulicolaceae. The record is from RNAcentral.